AUGCCAUGGUGUGGGCAUGUUGCAAUGUAAUCCUCGAGACGUUCCUAGGCUUCCGGGGUUAUCUCAUCCUGCAGUUGUUGAAAACUGGAAAUCCUGUUCCGAAGGAC
Small nucleolar RNA from Panicum hallii, 107 nucleotides. The record is from RefSeq and is a predicted model, not a curated record. NCBI's taxonomy places the organism in Eukaryota, Viridiplantae, Streptophyta, Magnoliopsida, Poales, Poaceae.